Molecule: ribosomal RNA, 406 nt
Filed under: uncultured bacterium
Lineage: Bacteria
Description: partial 16S ribosomal RNA
Rfam family: Bacterial small subunit ribosomal RNA
Source: RNAcentral
AUUGAACGCUGGCGGCAGGCCUAACACAUGCAAGUCGAACGAGUGGCGGACGGGUGAGUAAUGUCUGGGAAACUGCCUGAUGGAGGGGGAUAACUACUGGAAACGGUCGCUAAUACCGCAUACCCUCAGAUGUGCCCAGAUGGGAUUAGCUUGUUGGUGGGGUAACGGCUCACCAAGGCGAAGAUCCCUCGCUGGUCUGAGAGGAUGACCAGCCAAACUGGAACUGAGACACGGUCCAGAACCCUCAGGGAGGGAGGAGGGGGGAAUAUUUCACAAUGGGCGGAAGCCGGAUGCAGCCAUGCCGGGUGUUUGAAGAAGGCCUUCGGGUUUUAAAGUAACUUCAGCCGGGAGGCGUUACCCGCAGAAGAAGCACCGGCUAACUCCGUGCCAGCCGCCGCGGUAAUAC